CCGAAUUUCAUGCUGAGAACGCUGGAUAAGGGGAACCGAGUGCCCACAUUUUUGGUUGCUUUCCCCCCUGCUAAAACCAGGGGAUAGCAAGGGCCGGGCAAGACCGGUGCCAGCCGCCGCGUUAAUACCGGCGGCCCGAGUGGUGAUCGUUAUUAUUGGGUCUAAAGGGUUCCUGCCGGGUUUAGUAAAUUCUCUGGGAAAAUCCGACGGGUCAAACCAUGGGCGUUCGGGGAUACUGCCAGCCUGGGACCGGAGAGAAGAACCAG
RNAcentral lists this ribosomal RNA (266 nucleotides) under uncultured archaeon. RNAcentral describes it as "partial 16S rRNA". It matches the Rfam family "Archaeal small subunit ribosomal RNA", at positions 341 to 614 of the family's 1478-position model. The record is from RNAcentral.